RNAcentral lists this ribosomal RNA (816 nucleotides) under uncultured Alphaproteobacteria bacterium. RNAcentral describes it as "bacterial SSU rRNA". It matches the Rfam family "Bacterial small subunit ribosomal RNA", at positions 60 to 923 of the family's 1533-position model. Lineage: Bacteria; Pseudomonadati; Pseudomonadota; Alphaproteobacteria. The record is from RNAcentral.
AGUCGAGCGAGACCUUCGGGUCUAGCGGCGGACGGGUUAGUAACGCGUGGGAAUAUACCCUUCACUACGGAAUAGCCUCGGGAAACUGGGAGUAAUACCGUAUACGCCCUUUGGGGGAAAGAUUUAUCGGUGAAGGAUUAGCCCGCGUCUGAUUAGAUAGUUGGUGGGGUAAUGGCCUACCAAGUCUACGAUCAGUAGCUGGUUUGAGAGGAUGAUCAGCAACACUGGGACUGAGACACGGCCCAGACUCCUACGGGAGGCAGCAGUGGGGAAUCUUAGACAAUGGGCGCAAGCCUGAUCUAGCCAUGCCGCGUGAGUGACGAAGGCCUUAGGGUCGUAAAGCUCUUUCGCCAGAGAUGAUAAUGACAGUAUCUGGUAAAGAAACCCCGGCUAACUCCGUGCCAGCAGCCGCGGUAAUACGGAGGGGGUUAGCGUUGUUCGGAAUUACUGGGCGUAAAGCGCACGUAGGCGGAUUGGAAAGUAUGGGGUGAAAUCCCAGGGCUCAACCCUGGAACGGCCUUGUAAACUCCCAGUCUAGAGUUCGAGAGAGGUGAGUGGAAUUCCAAGUGUAGAGGUGAAAUUCGUAGAUAUUUGGAGGAACACCAGUGGCGAAGGCGGCUCACUGGCUCGAUACUGACGCUGAGGUGCGAAAGUGUGGGGGAGCAACAGGAUUAGAUACCCUGGUAGUCCACGCCCUAAACGAUGAAUGCCACACCUCCGGGGGCUUGCCCUUCGUUGUCCCACCUAACGGAUUAAGCAUUCCGCCUGGGGAGUACGGCCCCAAGAUUAAAACUCUAAGGAAAUUGAGGGGGCCCC